Molecule: transfer RNA, 62 nt
Filed under: Ectopsocopsis cryptomeriae
Lineage: Eukaryota; Metazoa; Arthropoda; Insecta; Psocodea; Ectopsocidae
Description: tRNA-Gly
Source: RNAcentral
AUUUAUUUAGUAUAAUAAGUAUACUUGAUUUCCAAUCAAAAGGUCUUAAUUAAGAAUAAAUA